This 417-nucleotide ribosomal RNA is filed under the name Salmonella enterica. RNAcentral describes it as "partial 23S ribosomal RNA". It matches the Rfam family "Bacterial large subunit ribosomal RNA", at positions 1292 to 1709 of the family's 2925-position model. RNAcentral also lists the same sequence under 2 other names. Lineage: Bacteria; Pseudomonadati; Pseudomonadota; Gammaproteobacteria; Enterobacterales; Enterobacteriaceae. The record is from RNAcentral.
GAAUGCUGACAUAAGUAACGAUAAAGCGGGUGAAAAGCCCGCUCGCCGGAAGACCAAGGGUUCCUGUCCAACGUUAAUCGGGGCAGGGUGAGUCGACCCCUAAGGCGAGGCCGAAAGGCGUAGUCGAUGGGAAACGGGUUAAUAUUCCCGUACUUGGUGUUACUGCGAAGGGGGGACGGAGAAGGCUAUGUUGGCCGGGCGACGGUUGUCCCGGUUUAAGCGUGUAGGUGUGUGUUCCAGGUAAAUCCGGUUCACUUUAACACUGAGGCGUGACGACGAGGCACUACGGUGCUGAAGCAACAAAUGCCCUGCUUCCAGGAAAAGCCUCUAAGCAUCAGGUAACACGAAAUCGUACCCCAAACCGACACAGGUGGUCAGGUAGAGAAUACCAAGGCGCUUGAGAGAACUCGGGUGAAG